UGGUAUCCGUUCGCCACAACGAAGAGAUAAUGUGGUAUCCGUUUGCCACAACGAAGAGAUAAUGUGGUUUAUAUGCACAUAGUGGAAUGAAAUAAUUAUAAGAGAUAUAUGAAAGUUUUAUUAUGUUUGAUUAAAGAUAUUUUGUUUUGAUGAAAUCCAUGUGUGAGAUUUGAUUGUUAUUAUUUUAUGAUUUAAGUAUAAUGCAAUUUCUCGUUUGAGUUGUACCAUUGAUGAGAUAUAGUUUUUUUUUAUAUACUUUGUUGUUAGUUAACCAACACUUAGAGAACUACGUGGCUCUGAUUCCCUAAUUGUUUAGGGAUACGUAGGACCAGGAGUCCUCCCUGUCGAGCUAUAGUUUCAGUAACUCUAUAUUUUAACUAAGUACAUUUAUAUAGUGUAUAAUGUAUUAGGCUUGCCAGGCUAAAUACAGGGUUAGUUAGAGGUGGCCUGUGCGCCGGUCAUGACCAGGGAUUGGGUCGUGACAAUGGUAGCCUUAACUAUUGAUUGAUCACACUCUUUGUGUUUCCCUUGAAUGUUCUUGAUUUAUAAUAACUCCUCAAUUGUGAUGAUGUUAGCAUAUGAGGAGAGAUAAGGAUAAUUAAUGCAUAAAUUCUGCCUUUUUCUAAUUGUCUCCUCUGUUUUAUUUUCCAUCUUUUCCAAGAAUGGUUCUUCAAUGAAACGGUUGUUUCUCUUAUACCUAAAGUCUCACAUAUUUAAAUGUGGAGAAGUGUAGAAUCCGGGGUUCGAACCCCUGUCAUUCCAAUAAUAUCUCUAAUAGCUAUAAUUUGAGCUACACUUAUGGGACUUAUACUACUCUAUCCUGUCACUAUUUAACUUUUUUGGUAUAUUAAAAAAAAUCAUGUUAAACAGUGCCCUCGAGACACUUGUUAAGCAUAAGGAAAUAAAAGAGAAAAUUAAUAUUAUG
Molecule: long non-coding RNA, 925 nt
Filed under: Trifolium pratense (red clover)
Lineage: Eukaryota; Viridiplantae; Streptophyta; Magnoliopsida; Fabales; Fabaceae
Description: long non-coding RNA (TPRA_LNC002344)
Source: RNAcentral